GGUAUGGGAUGAGCUUGCGUCCGAUUAGCUAGUUGGCGGGGCAACGGCCCACCAAGGUGACGAUCGGUAGCCGGCCUGAGAGGGUGAUCGGCCACAUUGGGACUGAGAUACGGCCCAGACUCCUACGGGAGGCAGCAGUAGGGAAUAUUGCACAAUGGGGGAAACCCUGAUGCAGCAACGCCACGUGUGGGAAGAAGCAUUUCGGUGUGUAAACCACUGUCGUGAGGGAAUAAGGCAUUUUUUCGGAGAUGUUGAAUGUACCUCGAGAGGAAGCACCGGCAAACUUCGUGCCAGCAGCCGCGGUAACACGAGGGGUGCAAGCGUUGUUCGGAAUCACUGGGCGUAAAGGGAGCGCAGGCGGAAGCUCAAGCGGAUUGUACAAUACCGGGGCCCAACCCCGGACCUGCAGUCCGAACUGGGUUUCUUGGAUAGUUCAGGGGCAGGC
Molecule: ribosomal RNA, 445 nt
Filed under: uncultured bacterium
Lineage: Bacteria
Description: bacterial SSU rRNA
Rfam family: Bacterial small subunit ribosomal RNA
Source: RNAcentral